RNAcentral lists this ribosomal RNA (468 nucleotides) under uncultured bacterium. Its description in RNAcentral is "partial 16S ribosomal RNA". It matches the Rfam family "Bacterial small subunit ribosomal RNA", at positions 28 to 507 of the family's 1533-position model. The record is from RNAcentral.
GACGAACGCUGGCGGCGUGCUUAACACAUGCAAGUCGAACGGAAAGGCCCUGCUUUUGUGGGGUGCUCGAGUGGCGAACGGGUGAGUAACACGUGAGUAACCUGCCCUUGACUUUGGGAUAACUUCCGGCAACUGGUGCUAAUACCCGAUAGGAGCUCCUGCUGCAUGGUGGGGGUUGGAAAGUUUCGGCGGUUGGGGAUGGACUCGCGGCUUAUCAGCUUGUUGGUGGGGUAGUGGCUUACCAAGGCUUUGACGGGUAGCCGGCCUGCGAGGGUGACCGGCCACAUUGGGACUGGGAUACGGCCCAGACUCCUACGGGAGGCAGCAGUGGGGAAUAUUGCACAAUGGGCGGAAGCCUGAUGCAGCAACGCCGCGUGCGGGAUGACGGCCUUCGGGUUGUAAACCGCUUUCGCCUGUGACGAAGCGUGAGUGACGGUAAUGGGUAAAGAAGCACCGGCUAACUACGUG